This 250-nucleotide ribosomal RNA is filed under the name uncultured prokaryote. Its description in RNAcentral is "partial 16S ribosomal RNA". It matches the Rfam family "Bacterial small subunit ribosomal RNA", at positions 524 to 773 of the family's 1533-position model. The record is from RNAcentral.
UACGUAGGUGGCGAGCGUUAUCCGGAUUUACUGGGUGUAAAGGGCGCGUAGGCGGGCUUUUAAGUCUGAUGUGAAAUCCCGAGGCUUAACCACGGAACUGCAUUGGAAACUGGAAGUCUUGAGUGCUGGAGAGGAAAGCGGAAUUCCUAGUGUAGCGGUGAAAUGCGUAGAUAUUAGGAGGAACACCAGUGGCGAAGGCGGCUUUCUGGACAGUAACUGACGCUGAGGCGCGAAAGCGUGGGGAGCAAAC